GUUGAACUGGGAUCUCUGUCGGGUUGGUCGAAGUUGUGAGCACCAUGCUUUUUAGAGUACAGUUCUGGAAAACGUCUCUAGGACAUACCACUUGUGGCAUGUUGUUACACUUUAACGGCAGGAAGGAUGUUGUACGGUCGAAGGACCUGGUGAUGUGAUGCGAUGCAAUACCUGGCUGUGAUGAUGGUACUCCAGAGUGUGGUUGAGAAGGCGGUGGGUUAUUAGAGUUAGACCUACCCUUGUGGGUGAGAAUGAAGUGGUAUAGAAUGCGGAGGAAAAGUAUGUGACGGGAGUUUAAGAUGCGGCGGCAUGUGCGGUGGUGGACCACCAUGUGGACACAUGCCUGGCAGUGGAAAACAACUGCAUACUAGGCAUACCAGGAUGAGGCGGCACCUGGUGCGGCGAUGUUGGACGUCCUGGGUGAUAACUCGGAACGUGCGGUUGAUGCAUCGUAGGUGCAGAAGUAUGGAAUGAUGCCUUCUGCGGUGGAAGUUGUAGCUGAAGAGGCAUCGAAGAUUGAGUCCUUGGUAGCGGUUGAUGUUGCGUUCGUCGUAGACAUUGUGGUGUUGCACUCAGAUAUUGACUCACCAGAUACCCACAAAAUAAAAACUAACGUGUGCUUAAUGUUCGCAAAUAUCACGUCGGGGUCACCAAUUUGUGGGAUCGGUGAGUGAGUGCAAAUGUUAUAAUUGAUGUGUGUUAAAAGACACGAUGUUUAUUAUCACGAACAAUGUUUAUUAAGAAGUCUUGAAGAAGUAUAGUUAAGAAGUAUUGUAGAGAAGAAUAGUUAAGAACUGUAGUGUUUGAAGUAAUGUCAAGAACUGUCCUUCCUAAACCCUUGUCACCCACCAGCAACCCUUCAGGUUGAUGGGUGGUGACAAGAAAUUUGGAAGUAGGAAGAAAGUAAUAGAUUGGAUUGGUAGAAGAAAGUGUAUGACAUUGAAGAGAGGGAAAGCUGACCAUUGGAUUCUGGGAAUCCGAGUCGUGCCAAACCGUCCGACUCGGGGAUUAGGUUUUUCAAGGUAAUAAAAGAUAUUAGGAAAUUUGGGAAUUUUGGAUGAAGAAUUACGGUAUACAAUAAAGAUGAAGAAAGUUAUAAAGUUUUGAAAUACAGAAAUAA
Long non-coding RNA from Dalotia coriaria, 1120 nucleotides. RefSeq lists it as uncharacterized. The record is from RefSeq and is a predicted model, not a curated record. NCBI's taxonomy places the organism in Eukaryota, Metazoa, Arthropoda, Insecta, Coleoptera, Staphylinidae. The transcript has 2 exons.